RNAcentral lists this small nuclear RNA (175 nucleotides) under Sinocyclocheilus grahami. Its description in RNAcentral is "U2 spliceosomal RNA (ENSSGRG00000017977.1)". It matches the Rfam family "U2 spliceosomal RNA". Rfam says of the family: U2 is a small nuclear RNA (snRNA) component of the spliceosome (involved in pre-mRNA splicing). Lineage: Eukaryota; Metazoa; Chordata; Actinopteri; Cypriniformes; Cyprinidae. The record is from Rfam by way of RNAcentral.
AAAACCUUUAAAAAAAAAAAAAAUCUGUUCUUAUCAGUUUAAUAUCUGAUACGUCCCCUAUCCGGGGACUGCAUAUUAAAUGGAUUUUUGGAUCAUGGAGCUGGAGCGAGGCUUGCUCCGUCCACUCCACGCAUCCGUCUGGUAUUGCAGUAUCUCCAGAAACGGUGUGCUUCCC